GUUAAGAAGGGUCUUCCAGAGCAUUAGACACCAGUCAAAGUCCAACUUGACAGUGGCCACAGCCCAUAGAGGGUGAUAGGCCCGUAAGGCGGUCGUCUGGCUCUGCUGACCUCUUCUCCGAGUCAGGUAGCUUGUGAGUGCUGCCCAAAGAGCGAGGUAAACUCCUCGUAAGGCUAAAUACAACCCCAAUACCGAUAGCAAACAAGUACAGUGAUGGAAAUUUGAAAAGAACUUUGAAGAGAGAGUUAAUAGUACGUGAAACUGUAUGGUAGUAAACGCAGCCUCCCUCGAAGUGCAGCAUUGUGGACCCAACCUAAGCGUGCUGCUGCAUGGCUGUCUGUCCAGAGCCGUUAAAAGCCUGGCAGGCUGGUCUGCUGGCGGUGCGCGCGGGUGCAUCUCUACAUGCUUGACUGUAGGAACUGUUGGACUUGGACCGAAGGCCCGGGGUGGAGACCGAGCUGGCUGUAGUGGCUGGCACGGACCCGCCGGUGUCCUGGCUCCUCGUCCGACAGGCAUCUGGCCGGCGCUUAUAGAGCGCAAUCGUUGCUAUUGCAACCGGCCAUUCCCUACAGAGUAGGUCGGCGAAGGCUGCGACCCGUCUUGAAACACGGACCAAGGAGUCUAACAUGUAUGCAAGUCAACGGGUUGUCUAAACCCGGAGGCGCAGUGAAAGCAAAGGGCUGCUUGCAGCCUUAGGGGAGAUCCUUCGGGCGCAUCCCCGCCAUUUCCAAUUAGCUUUGUCUUUUGGGAAUAGGAAGAGCAUACAUGUUGGGACCCGAAAGAUGGUGAACUAUGCC
RNAcentral lists this ribosomal RNA (797 nucleotides) under Candacia simplex. Its description in RNAcentral is "partial large subunit ribosomal RNA". It matches the Rfam family "Eukaryotic large subunit ribosomal RNA", at positions 150 to 837 of the family's 3401-position model. The record is from RNAcentral. Lineage: Eukaryota; Metazoa; Arthropoda; Copepoda; Calanoida; Candaciidae.